RNAcentral lists this ribosomal RNA (545 nucleotides) under bacterium enrichment culture clone 03(2012). RNAcentral's name for it is "bacterial SSU rRNA". It matches the Rfam family "Bacterial small subunit ribosomal RNA", at positions 9 to 526 of the family's 1533-position model. The record is from RNAcentral.
GAGUUUGAUCCUGGCUCAGAAUGAACGCUGGCGGCGUGCUUAACACAUGCAAGUCGUACGAGAAAUCUUCUGCUUGCAGGAGAGAGUAAAGUGGCGUACGGGUGAGUAAUGCGUGGGUAAUCUACCUUUGAAUUCGGGAUAACAUGUCGAAAGGUGUGCUAAUACCGGAUGAAGUCCAUGUAGUAAUGACUGUAUGGAUGAAAGAUGGCCUCUACAUGUAAGCUAUUGUUUGGGGAUGAGCCUGCGCACCAUUAGCUAGUUGGUGGGGUAAGAGCCUACCAAGGCGACGAUGGUUAGCUGGUCUGAGAGGAUGAUCAGCCACACUGGAACUGGAACACGGUCCAGACUCCUACGGGAGGCAGCAGUGAGGAAUUUUGCGCAAUGGGGGAAACCCUGACGCAGCAACGCCGCGUGAGUGAUGAAGGCUUUCGGGUCGUAAAGCUCUGUCGAUCGGGAAGAAGGUGAGCCAACAGAAUAUGUUGGUUUAUUGACGGUACCGUUGAAGGAAGCACCGGCUGACUCCGUGCCAGCAGCCGCGGUAAUAC